GAGAAAGCCAUGGCUGAAUUAGGUUUGCUCUACCUUGGAAUGGGAGUUUCUGGGGGUGAAGAAGGUGUUAGGAAUGGUCCUUCUUUGAUGCCUGGAGGAUCUUUUGAGGCCUUCAAGAACAUUGAGGACAUUCUUCUUAAGGUGGCAGCCCAAGUUCCCGAUAGUGGUCCCUGUGUGACUUACAUCGGCAAAGGUGGAUCAGGUAACUUUGUCAAGAUGAUCCACAAUGGAAUAGAAUAUGGUGAUAUGCAGCUGAU
RNAcentral lists this unclassified non-coding RNA (257 nucleotides) under Hevea brasiliensis (rubber tree). Lineage: Eukaryota; Viridiplantae; Streptophyta; Magnoliopsida; Malpighiales; Euphorbiaceae. The record is from RNAcentral.